This 255-nucleotide ribosomal RNA is filed under the name uncultured prokaryote. RNAcentral describes it as "partial 16S ribosomal RNA". It matches the Rfam family "Bacterial small subunit ribosomal RNA", at positions 521 to 775 of the family's 1533-position model. The record is from RNAcentral.
UAAGACAGAGGGUGCAAACGUUGUUCGGAAUUACUGGGCGUAAAGCGCGUGUAGGCGGCUUGGCAAGUCGGGUGUGAAAGCCCCGGGCUCAACUUGGGAAGUGCACUCGAAACUGCUUGGCUUGAGUACUGGAGAGGGAAGCGGAAUUCUCGGUGUAGAGGUGAAAUUCGUAGAUAUCGAGAGGAACACCGGUGGCGAAGGCGGCUUCCUGGACAGUCACUGACGCUGAGACGCGAAAGCGUGGGGAGCAAACAG